This 2702-nucleotide long non-coding RNA is filed under the name Equus asinus (donkey). RNAcentral's name for it is "lncRNA (ENSEASG00005032967.1)". Lineage: Eukaryota; Metazoa; Chordata; Mammalia; Perissodactyla; Equidae. The record is from RNAcentral.
AGAAGGUAGAGGUAGAAGUUAGCAGGAGGAGGAACGGGAGUUUGCUUGGAUUGGCUGGCGCGGCAACGUGCGGAGCGCUGAUUGGUGGCAGGGAAAUGGAAUGAUUCUGCGUGGAUGUGGACUGGCAGGAGCCGGAGCGAGGUACCCCUGAGGGCGGUGAGGAAGGGAAGAGUAACUUCAGAUUGAGGUCAAGUCUCCAACCGUUGUAAACAUGGACUGCAUUCUUCUGGAACCCUACAGAUGUUCUCUAUGGAAGCAACUUCUCAAGAGGAUGGCUUUUUUUGUUUUGUUAUAAUUGUGAAAAAACAUGCAAAACAUAAAAUUUACUAUUUCAACAAUUUUUAAAGGUACAAUUCAGCGACAUUGAGUACAUUUGAAAAUUGUGCAACCAGUGCCACUAUCCAUUUCCAGAACUUUUUCAUCAUCCCAGACAGCAAAUCCAUAUGCAUUAGACAAUAACUCCCAUUACCUCCCCCCUCAGGGGAUUACUUUUGAACAGUUUUGGUGCCCACAAAAAUCUGUGGCUAUGUUUACACACCUUUUUAAGGGCUUUAUCAUUUCAUUUAUUUAGCAAACAUUUACUAGGCAACUGUACUGGAUGAAAUGUUAGAGAUCGGUCAUCAAAUAAAUACCAAUUCUUUACCCGAAGGAGCUUGCAAUGAACUGAGAUAGAUAAAUAAGUGAUAUCAGUGAGCUGUGAUAAAUGCAAUGAGAGAAAGGAAAGAAGAGAACUGGCUGGAGAUCUAGAGUUCAUGGAACACACACUGUCAGACUGACUGCAUCAAGUGCUUUUGCGUAUUACUUCUCUUCAUAAAAGCCCUGUGAAGUACCGGCUGUUACCCUAUCUUGCAGAUAAGCAAUCUGAAACCUAGGAUGGUCCAGCAAGUUGCCCACAGGUGCUUCCACAGGGAAGGGAAGCACUAAACAGGCAAUGUUACCCAAAGAUUAUGUGACCAUUCAGAAGUUCCCCCGACCAGUCAGGAAAAAUUGUACACUUUUAAGGGCCUGUGGAGGAAAACCACUGAAGAGCAGAGGGAAGAGAAGGGAGGCACUGACUUCUGGCAAAUACCAGUUCUGCACCAACUAGCUGUGGGACUCUUUCUCAAUCUCCUCAUCUGUAAGGGUGGUAAUAAGGGAUCUUUAAAGUGUCUUACAGCUUUAAAAAUCUAUCAUUUCAACUCUUAUUUGAAUAAAAUCCAAUACAUUUGGAGAAAAUAAAAGGUAUUUUCAGUAUUCCAAGGUAUGACGAAGCUUGUUAAGGACAUUUUAGAUUGUUAAUGUCUUAGAACAGACUUCUUGACAUAAAUUCAAACUGGAUAUUGUUGGAGGAUGUCGUUGAGAGGACAUGACUGCCAAUUGACCUGCAAGCUGGACUUGGGCAAUCGGAGGCUCCUUACACCCUCCCCAUCCUUGGAUUGUACAUUCUGCCCACUGUUCCCAAAGUGGGAGCCAUUUUUAAGGAUGUAUCCUUGAGAGAGCAGUGUGUUAUUGAGACCAUCUGGAUGGCAUACAUGACUGAACCCAGUGAAGGCCUCUGUAUAAACUUUUAAGAUUCUGGUGGGCAAAUAUGGAGAUCUACUCAUCCUGCAGCCACCCAAGACAAGCCUUGUGAUUUCCCCUCUGGAUCUGGGAGCUUUCGUCAGCCAACCAAGGACCAGCUUUCUGAACUUCUUUUCCUUUGGACACAGCACUGGGAUGCAAAAUUCUGAAGAAUUAUGCCUGUUUGCCCACUGGUCAGGAGUACACAUGGUCAUAGACUGAUUAAAACAAGAUUUUCUGCAGAACGUGGCUGAUUUUCCAAAGUGCAGUGACGCAGUUCCUUUUUGCUCCCUAUCCCCACCAUACCCUCUCUGGACUGGAUUCAUGAGAAGACAGUUUUCAGUUGAAGAAACUCAGGCACUUAUGGAAACAACACUGAAUAGAGCUGCUUCCUAUGGCCUUCUCAGGCCAAGUGAUGAUGAGCGUGGGACUGUGGAGUCAGUUCAUCUCCAGUCAAGGCUGUGCUCGAGAAGAGUCUACAAGUAUGGGACAGGGUCCUGGAAGGGUGCCAACAGGGGCUUGCACAGGUCUAUCAGGAGGAAGAAAGUUAAUUAAAAGUCCGGUUAAGUUGGCUCAAAAGAAUAAUAAAUCAAAAAGUUCAUCAGGAGGAGCUGAGUGGGACAUGAUCCAAAGGAUCAAAGUGCGGGUCAGAAACGGGAUGAUUGGAAACAAAGCCAGCUCAGGAACUCACCUUGGGAUUGCUGAGACAAUGCUCUGGCAACAUCUUAUGCACAGGUUGGUGAGCGAAGCUGGAGAGGGCCCUCGUCCUGACAAUACCAGAGCCUGGAUAGAUCCUCAUAAUUUGAUGGGAAGGGAACAGUCUUGAGAGACAGUUUUGCAAGUGCUGGUUUUAGAGCAUUGUUUUCCUGGUUUGUCAAGUGAGAGAUCUGUGUUGAUAAUGUCUAGUGUUUGUGAAUAAUAACAUUCUUUGACACCAUCUGGAUAAGGCACCUAAAGCACUAGGCUCAUGUCUCUCCUAGAACCAGCCAGUCCUCCCUCAACCUUUGCAAAUCUAUCCCUGGUGCUGAUGUUCAGCAUGUGCAUGUGCAUAACAUCUGAGGAGAGCAAACAGCAGGGGCAGAGCCCCAGGACACCCAUCCUUCCUCGGCAGCGGAAGGUACCUCAGUUAGCACCUUCUACAGGAAGGAAACGCCUGUGGAGAG